Long non-coding RNA from Panicum virgatum (switchgrass), 1577 nucleotides. RefSeq lists it as uncharacterized. NCBI's taxonomy places the organism in Eukaryota, Viridiplantae, Streptophyta, Magnoliopsida, Poales, Poaceae. The transcript is spliced from 2 exons. The record is from RefSeq and is a predicted model, not a curated record.
ACUACUCUGUGCACAUGCCGAACUUGGUUGGCCAAGUACUGGUGGGGGCAUGACCACCAUCUGUUGCUGCCCCACCUCUUGGGAGACAGGAAUCAUAAGUCGGCCCGACUGCUGCUGCUCCGCAAGAGUUGCAAAAAAAUAAAUCCUUGAACCUUGCUUCCAUUGCACUCCCUGCUGCUGCCACAAUUUCUUCGUUAUAGUGGUCAUGGCUCCUAUACCUAGCCCUGUCCUUGUCGAACCCAUCUCUGAUGCUCAACUUAGAGGACAUACCUCUAACACGGCCUCCAUGCUCUUUAGACCCAAUGGCUGUACUGAGCACAUCCACCUCCCUAUUGGGUUUGAACUCUCCUUUUUUUUUGUAGUUUGACAAGUUUUAACAUUCUUUCUGCCACUACUUCCGUCUCGGGUUGAUCAAAUUUUGGUUUGCCUUCAACUAUCUUUGGCUUUCUCGCUUCAAGCCACUGCCAUCCAUGGUCGUCCAAUCCAUCAUAAGGGUCGGGUUGGCCGGCAGCUAUUGCCGCCUCUCUUUGACGCCUCCACUGGUCGAUCUUCCUUUGGUACCCACCUAGCCCAAGACAGACUUUAUGUAUGUUGCUCUUUGCUAAUUUAGUCUGCUUCUGGCUUAGGGCUACAACUUCUUCUGUGGUCUUCUGCCGAACAAACUCUUCCAUUGUGCUGGUGUGAUGUCCCCAUAAUCUGCGAAUGGCGUUCCACCCUUCUGGACAUACCGUGUAUUCAGUUCGCUCUUCCACCGGCGGAAUGUUUCACCCAGCAUCUUCAGAGCAUAACGCCUAACUUGUUCUCUAGUUCCUCUAGGAAGAAUAAAAGUUCUGCUCAACAUUUGCCACAUCGCUUCAACAAGGGGCCAACUUGGGAUCGUUGGAUCCAAAACCAUCUUUGUCCUUAUUAUAGCACCGAUAGCAUUCCAAAACUUUGCAACAAUCUACGGAGGUUCUAUGGGCUCUCCUGCCAUGCUAAUUACAUUAACAGUAAAUUGCCUUUCGGGGUACUGGUUUCUGCCUCGCUGACCCUGUUUCCUUUUGUUUUGUACGUUAGAGGCUGUACUUGCAUGUUCGGGGCCCGAGCUUUCAUUGUCUUCCUCUAUGGGGCUAGGGGCUUGGCGUCGGCACUUACCCCUUCCUAUCCGCGCCUGCAUGGUUCACGAUUCAUCAAGUCCUAAUGCGUAGUCUAUGAAAAUAAAUGGGUGUGGAUCGAGCGGAUCCUGCCACCUGCCGUCCACCCAAGCCCCUUGUCUAACCCUAGGGCCACCCUCGUCCCCACUUUCAGACUUAUCCGUCGCGGAUUGGACAUCGACGUCGGCUUGGGUCUCCAACUCCAUUUGGGAUGCAAUUUUUCGAAGCUUGUUUUGCAUCUCUACGUCAUCCCUUCGAGGGGAGGAUGACAACGCGGGAUCCAUCUAUGACUUCUACACAGAUCACGACGAACAUUUCACAUUUAAUAUAUAAUUGCUUGAAUAGAAAUGCUAUAAAUGCAGAUUUCAUAAGUACAAUAUGAUUCAAUAUUACUACAAAUAUAUAUAUAUAUAUAUAUAAAGUACAAUAUGAUUCAAAUUACAA